RNAcentral lists this ribosomal RNA (254 nucleotides) under uncultured bacterium. RNAcentral describes it as "partial 16S ribosomal RNA". It matches the Rfam family "Bacterial small subunit ribosomal RNA", at positions 524 to 777 of the family's 1533-position model. The record is from RNAcentral.
UACGAAGGGGGCUAGCGUUGCUCGGAAUUACUGGGCGUAAAGGGCGCGUAGGCGGCACUGUUAGUCAGGCGUGAAAGUCCUGGGCUCAACCUGGGAACUGCGCUUGAUACGGCAGAGCUAGAGGAUGGAAGAGGCUCGCGGAAUUCCCAGUGUAGAGGUGAAAUUCGUAGAUAUUGGGAAGAACACCGGUGGCGAAGGCGGCGAGCUGGUCCAUUACUGACGCUGAGGCGCGACAGCGUGGGGAGCAAACGAGG